This 476-nucleotide ribosomal RNA is filed under the name uncultured bacterium. RNAcentral's name for it is "bacterial SSU rRNA". It matches the Rfam family "Bacterial small subunit ribosomal RNA", at positions 28 to 507 of the family's 1533-position model. The record is from RNAcentral.
GAUGAACGCUAGCGGCAGGCUUAACACAUGCAAGUCGAGGGGUAUAGUAGCAAUACUAGAGACCGGCGCACGGGUGCGUAACGCGUAUGCAACCUACCUUGAACAGGGGGAUAGCCCAGAGAAAUUUGGAUUAAUACCCCAUGGUAUAUUGAUGUGGCAUCACAUUAUUAUUAAAGUUCCAACGGUUCAAGAUGGGCAUGCGUCCCAUUAGCUAGAUGGUAAGGUAACGGCUUACCAUGGCGACGAUGGGUAGGGGUCCUGAGAGGGAGAUCCCCCACACUGGUACUGAGACACGGACCAGACUCCUACGGGAGGCAGCAGUGAGGAAUAUUGGUCAAUGGGCGCAAGCCUGAACCAGCCAUGCCGCGUGCAGGAUGAAGCAUCUAUGGUGUGUAAACUGCUUUUGUACGGGAAGAAACCCUUGCUUGAGAGCAAGAUUGACGGUACCGUAAGAAUAAGGAUCGGCUAACUCCGUG